UAAAUAUGCAAUCAGAUCGCUUCACGCAACGGAAUUGAAAAGACAAGCAGUCUAUUUUGCCAUGAUUCUCUGUACAAAGUCAUAAUAGUCAAAGCUUCCAGAAUUAGUAGGAUCGGCCUCUUGCACCAUCAAUUGUACUUCGUUAUCUGAAAGCUUCUCACCUAACGUUUUCAUAUAAUCGGCAAAUUUAGCGGUUUCGAUAUAACCACUAUUGUCCUUGUCGAAAACUCUAAAUGCUUUUAUAUAUUCUUCCUCUGAUUCUGUUUCCCUUAAUUUGUUGGAAACAAAGCUCAUAAAUUUUUUUUCAUCAAUGGCAUCGCCUAAUUCAUUAGAAAGCUUUGCUAAUUCGGCAUCAGUAACAUUGAUUCCGAGACUUCUCAAAACGGAACCCACAUGACUCGUAGGAAUCAAACCGUCUUUGUCGAUAUCAUAAAGGACAAAUGCCUCUUUCAUUUCAUCGGUUUGUUCUUUGGAGGCAGGCAUAUUGUUUGCUCAAAUAACGUAAACAAAAGCUAAAGCAGGCGAUAAACGUGACAAGGAAAUAGUUUUAUAAAAAAAGGGAAAUAGCUUGAAUUCAAGAGCUAUUAUAAAUCAAAGUUAAAGCACAGAAACAAUGAUUUUGUUUGAGGUAAAUGAUUUAUGAAGUUGGUGGAGUCCAUCUAUCCUGUCAAACAUCCUUUAUUUGUUACCUCUCUCCACUAAAGUAACGGGUUUGCUGGACUGGUGCGGGCUAAGAAUGCUAUUAAUGGAUAUAUUUAUAUUCAGAGUAUGU
Molecule: non-coding RNA, 772 nt
Organism: Schizosaccharomyces pombe (fission yeast)
Lineage: Eukaryota; Fungi; Ascomycota; Schizosaccharomycetes; Schizosaccharomycetales; Schizosaccharomycetaceae
Source: the annotation of a GenBank genome assembly